GCAGGCCUAACACAUGCAAGUCGAGCGGUAGAGAGGAGCUUGCUUCUCUUGAGAGCGGCGGACGGGUGAGUAAUGCCUAGGAAUCUGCCUAGUGGUGGGGGAUAACGUUCGGAAACGGACGCUAAUACCGCAUACGUCCUACGGGAGAAAGCGGGGGACCUUCGGGCCUCGCGCCAUUAGAUGAGCCUAGGUCGGAUUAGCUAGUUGGUGAGGUAACGGCUCACCAAGGCGACGAUCCGUAACUGGUCUGAGAGGAUGAUCAGUCACACUGGAACUGAGACACGGUCCAGACUCCUACGGGAGGCAGCAGUGGGGAAUAUUGGACAAUGGGCGAAAGCCUGAUCCAGCCAUGCCGCGUGUGUGAAGAAAGUCUUCGGAUUGUAAAGCACUUUAAGUUGGGA
Molecule: ribosomal RNA, 401 nt
Filed under: uncultured bacterium
Lineage: Bacteria
Description: bacterial SSU rRNA
Rfam family: Bacterial small subunit ribosomal RNA
Source: RNAcentral